RNAcentral lists this ribosomal RNA (478 nucleotides) under uncultured bacterium. Its description in RNAcentral is "partial 16S ribosomal RNA". It matches the Rfam family "Bacterial small subunit ribosomal RNA", at positions 28 to 523 of the family's 1533-position model. The record is from RNAcentral.
GAUGAACGCUGACAGAAUGCUUAACACAUGCAAGUCUACUUGAAGCACUUUCGGGUGUGGAUGGUGGCGGACGGGUGAGUAACGCGUAAAUAACUUGCCCCCUAGUCUGGGACAACUGUUGGAAACGACAGCUAAUACUAGAUAUUAUGAAGCUUUGGCAUCAAGGUUUUAUGAAAGCUAUAUGCGCUAGGGGAGAGAUUUGCGUCCUAUUAGCUAGUUGGUGAGGUAAUGGCUCACCAAGGCGACGAUAGGUAGCCGGCCUGGGAGGGUCAACGGCCACAAGGGGACUGGGACACCGCCCUUCCUCAUACGGGAGGCAGCAGUGGGGAAUGUUGGACAAUGCACCAAAAGGCUGAUCCAGAAAUUCUGUGUGCUUGAUGAAGGCCUUCGGGUUGUAAAGAGCUUUAAGUAGGGAAGAAGAAAGUGACGGUACCUACAGAAUAAGCGACGGCUAAAUACGUGCCAGCCGCCGCCGUAA